Pelobates cultripes (western spadefoot toad) is the source of this 466-nucleotide non-coding RNA. Lineage: Eukaryota; Metazoa; Chordata; Amphibia; Anura; Pelobatidae. The record is from the annotation of a GenBank genome assembly.
GUUUUCCUUCGUUGUUUUCUUCUUAUUUACAAAGGUAUGGAAAACAAAAGAACAAACACUGUCACAAUGUACAAACAAAUGUGACAAGCUGUGUAGUCUGGAAAAUAGGAAUAGCCCAGUAAUGGUGGAAUAUUCAAUGUAUAUACACAAAAGUGGAAUGUCAAAGCUAUCUCUAUUUAGUCAUAAUAGAGGUAGAAUAGUAGUUAGGAUUGAAAGGGUAAUAGAGGUGAACAAUUAAACAAUUCGAAAAUGCUCCAUGAUAAACAUACAUAUAUGAGAAUAAUUAGGUAUAUGGUUUCAUAGUAUCUAAUAUGUGAGCUUUGUGUCUGGCUCUAUAGAUAUCAAGAAAUAUCUAUUAUAAUAUGCUCAAAAAAUAUGUAAUAGGUCCCUCUUUGGUAAUACAUAAUCCUGUUAGUGCUUCUCAUGUGUCGUAAUUAGUUUAGAGAGUCUGAUUAAUAGGGAAAGG